This 7518-nucleotide long non-coding RNA is filed under the name Citrus x clementina. RNAcentral's name for it is "Citrus clementina (C. clementina) long non-coding RNA (CCLE_LNC001167)". The record is from RNAcentral. Lineage: Eukaryota; Viridiplantae; Streptophyta; Magnoliopsida; Sapindales; Rutaceae.
AACUAAUGUUCAAUCUAUUUAAUUAGCUUAAUCGUUAAAUUUAAGGGAGCCUCUAAGUUACAUUUAAUGUAACUUACACAACUUAUGUGAACCACAUAAAUUAUGGAUCCCACAAUUUUGUGUGAUUCACAUUAGUUGUGUAAGUUAAUUGUAACUUAGCAUUUGGCUAAAUUUAAAGUUGAAGUUGUGUGUGAAGUUCACUCAACUUUUAUCACCUUUAUUUCGAAUGGCGCCUCCGACAAACACCAAUGGUAGGCUCAAUCAGAGAUGGACAGUCCAGGGCAUGACUGCGCUUGUAACUGGUGGAACCAAAGGACUAGGGUUCUUAAUCUCUCUAGCUAGCUCUUAUAUGCAUUCCUUUCCUGUUAAUAUUGCCUGCAUGUGCUCAUAUUUUUGUUUCUGUUGUUGGUGCAUUGACUAGUCAUGCUGUAGUGGAGGAACUGGCUGAGCUUGGUGCUACUGUGCAUACAUGCUCUAGGAAUGAAUGAAGUAGAUCUUAGUGAAUGCAUACGUGACUGGAAAAGCAAAGGCUUCAAAGUCACCGGUUCAGUGUGCGAUGUAUCAUCUCGAAUUGAACGGGAAAAGCUUAUAAACCAAGUCUCCUCUCUGUUUGAUGGAAAACUUAACAUUCUCGUAUGAUUCAUAUAUGGUGUUAAUUAUAUUGCAUAUUAAUUAAUUGUUGUUAUAAUUAAUCCCGUGGUGCAGUGAGUUCUAAUUUGCUUUACUAGCUAACUACUUAAUUAACACAAUCCAUAUCACUUAUCACUAUGUCUAUGUAUGUAUGCGAUGUGACUCUCUCUAGAUAAACAACGUCGGGACGACUAUAAGAAAGGCAACUGUGGAGUUCACAGCAGAAGAUUUCUCGUUUCUCAUGGCUACCAAUUUUGAGUCUGCUUACAAUCUGUGCCAACUUGCACAUCCUCUUUUGAAAGCUUCGGGGGCAGCAAGUAUUGUUCUAAUGUCUUCUGUUUGUGGGGUGGUGUCAGUUGUUGACGUUGGAUCCAUAUCUGGAGCUACGAAAGGUGACCCUUGACAACAAUUUUCAACAUCAUGUCAUGAGCUCUAGUCGUGUCUUUGAACCCCGUGACUGGGAGGCUCUAUGGCAUUACGACUUGUCUUUAAACAUUAAACUUGAACUUUCUCUCACCCCAACUAGUUAUAUGUUAAUCACAGGAGCCAUGAACCAUCUUGCGAGGAUUUUGGCAUGCGAGUGGGCUCAAGACAAUAUUAGGACCAAUUCUGUCACACCUUGGUUCGUCGCGACUCCUUUAACUGAAUCUGUAAGAACUAUUUUAUUCACUCUGAUUCUCAAUGUUAUAUAUAUGUAUGCAGUUUCUCUAUAUGAGAAAUUAUUUUUAUCAAUUAGAAAAAUGACAUGAUUUAAUGCUCAUUUCAUUUCUGGUGGUAAAUAAAUAUAUAUGGUCACAGAAGAAGCAUACUAGUUGAAGAAUAAAUGGUAACCUUCUAAAUUUUAACCAAAAAAAUUAAUUAGUUUGUAGAGAUCUUGGAUAAUUAAUAAUUUUUAUAUAAAAAAGGGUCAUGGUCAUAUUUAAUUUUUAAUAGUGAGUAUUUUUUUAUUUUUUUUUAUGCACGCCAAGAAUAAAAUGGGGUGUUAAAAAUUUAUGAGAAACGUCCUAAUUAGUUAAAAAAAAUUAAUAAGAAAAAUGAAAGUUUUCGUGCGAGAUGAUCGAUGUGAUAUUAUCUUGCACGCAGGGAAAGCAUACACUUGCAUAAAAAAUUUUCUUCUACGUAUAAUUAUUACACUGGUCAUGAUAACUUCUAACCCUGCCCGUGAUCUCCAUUGCCUGCCACUGUGUCGGUGCUCCGUAAUCGGUAAGAUUUUGGAACGUAGCAAAUCAAUUAAUGAUGCAUGGUUGUUACUUACAUAUAGGAUCGACGGCGGAAUUUUGUUCGUUCACAAAAUUAUGUAAGAUGAACGGCUACGGUUAGGUUGCAUAUUCGAAACGGGGGUGCAUGAAUGGGUCCACAGAAGAAAUAAUUGUACAUACUACGGAUAAGUUUCUAGGCCCUAGGUGUCGGUGCUUCGUAUUCGGUAAGAUUUUGGAACGUAGCAAAUCAAAUAAUAAUGCAUGGUUGGUAGACAAUUUAUUGAAGGGAGGGCCUAAGUUACUUAGCGCCAUCCGUUAUUAAAACAGCUCAAUAUUGCCCCAAAUUUAUUGUCACUCAUCAGUGUGCCCCCAGCAGGCAGCAGUUACUGUAAACCUUUGUUUGGUGUAGACAAUUUUUCCUUUUUUUUUAUCAAUUUAGCCAUUUAGGCACCUUAACAUACCUAGUAUCACGAACAAAUUGCUCUCCCUAAAUAUAAUAUUCUCUUAUAAUUUAUUAAUUAAUUAAAUUAAUAAAUUUAAAUACAUAUAUUUUUCUUCCCCUUCAUCAUAAAAAAAAACUUAAUUGACAAAAAAAAGAGUAGCAAAUUUUUAUAAAUUUAAAAAUACAUAUUCUUCUUCCCUUUCAUCACCAAAAAGAAAAUUUAAAGGAAAAGAAUAAGAGUAGCAAAUUUGUUACCCCUAUUAUCCGAGUAGAAAUUUUAAUAGAAUCUUUCCCUAACAACAAGCAUCACCUCAAAUACAAAUUUAAUAAUAUUACAACCAUGUAAUUAUUAUAACAUAAAAUUAUCAUAUAAAACAACCAUUUAAUAAAAUCAUCAUCAUAUUCCAAAAUCAUCAAAAUCAUCACCAUAAUCAAAACAAUACUCAAAGUGCAUAUUAUUCUUCUCCUUUUAACAACAUCGAAAUGAUAUAUUACUUUGUCUCCUCCUUUAGACAAAAAAAAUUCAAAAUGCAUAUUAUUCAAAAUCAUAUUAUAUGCUCCCCUAAAUAUAUGGUCAAUUUAAAAAUUUAACCAAAAUAAUUUAAUCCAAAAACAUAUCAUAUUUAUCUCCCCCUUCAUUAUAAAAAAGAAAAGAUAGAUAAAUGGAAUCCAAACAAGAUCAUAAAAAAAAAUAAUUCAAUGAAGAUAUUACCCAUUUUGUGCGAACAAAAAAUUUCGGCAGAGUCUCUCCUUAAAAAUGAACAAAUCCUCAAAUACACAAUAUGGUUAAAAACACUUCUACAUAGGUUUAAACAAUUAUAACAAACCAACAACUCCAUCAAUUCAUCAAGCAACACACAUAUAAUCAUCAAUCAUCAAAAUCAUCAAGAAAUUCAUUUUAAUAAUAUUAAUAACAUGAUUAGAGAUAUUAAUAAAUUUCAUCAUCCUAAGUUCAUGCAGAAUUUUUGAAAAUUAUUUUUCGCAAAGAGGUUUUGAUUUGUUUACCAAAUUGGCAUGCAAAAGUUAUAAGAACGUAUUAUCAACUAUCCAAGCUCCAUAAUUACUAAUCACAUUUUUAAAAUCAAGACAACUAAACUUAUCAAACAUCUAAUGUGACAUUUCAAUAUAACUUAAAAAAUCUUAUAUCCUUAAAAUUCUCUAAGUAUGUGUAAUUUUUUUUUUUCGAUAUCAUUUACAACAAGUAAUGCAUAAUCAACAAUACAUCGAUAAAGUACAAAAAAUGCAUCCGUUCACCAAUCAUAGAUUGUAUAAGAUCAAACUUCAUCAAAUACAAUGUAAUCACCAAAGCACAUUUUUUAUCAUCAAAACUUAAGUAAAGCAUAAGUACAUAAUAGCAAUAUAUAGAUCAUCAAAAUCAACAUAACUAUUAAGAUCAGUCAUCAUAUAUAUUUAUCCAUGCAUCAUGAUUGCAUACAAUAAUAAUUUAAUUAUGUAAACGUACGGGCAUGCUUUUGUAAAUUCAAACUAUUAUCCAUCCAUCAUAAUUUAUUCAACAAAAUCAAUAUGGCAAGAAUUGUUACUAAAACAAUUAAAUCAACUUCCUCAUCUUUUUCUCUUAGAUCAUAAUCAAGUGAUUAUCCUCACAAGUUUUCAUCAAGGAACUCUCCACUAUUUCUUGAUUAUAGUACCUACAAAAAAAAAAAAAAAUUCAAGUUGUGUCUUUUGGUAUCCAAAUACUCCUGGGUCCUUGAAUGUUAGUAAUGAUUCCUUUUGGAACCCAAACACAUUUUACAUCAUAAUAUGUAUUUCUUUUCACUGGACAUCUAUUUUUUAUGUGACCAUCUUGAUUACAAUAAUAAUAUACAACUUAAUUGUUAAUGGAGGUACUCUUCAUAAAGUAAUUCUUAUUAUACUUUUGUUUCAAAUUUAACUUAUAGCUAAUACCUCCUUUGUCAAACACACAUUUUUGUGAAUUAAGUAAGUUAUCCAACAUCUUUUGCCCGUUUGUAAAUUUUAACACAAUUUCAUUGAGCUCGUUACUCUUUUUCUUAAGCACUUCAUUUUUUUUUAAUCAAAUCAUUAACAUGUGAUCUUUCAUGUUCAUACAAAAUGCUUUGUUUGCCUUUUAACGAAAUAGUUUUAUCAUGCAACAUUUUAUUAUUUAACUCUAAUUCUUUGAUAUUUUCAUUUAAUGAAACAUUGCAUUUUUGCAGGGCAUCUUUUUCUUUUUUUAAGUCAUCUACAUGUGAUUCUAGAUACUUGUGCGAAGUAUUAGGUUUCUCAUUUGAUAAUGCAACUUUAUCAUGCAAUGUUUUAUUCUCUAAUUCUAAGCAUGUAAUCUUUGCACUUAGAAAUUCAUUUUUAUUUGUGAGCUCUACAAUUUUUCUUUUAAGACAUGUAUUCUUUUUACCAAUUUUCAUCCACUCAUCAUGCAAUUCCUUAAAAGUAUCAUGUAAUUCAUCAUAUGUAGGAAAAUCACUUAUCUCAUCAAGUUCAUCAUCCGAUUCAUCUCCAAUUGCCAUAAGUGCCAAAUUUGACACUGCAUGAGAUUCCUCUUUAUUUGUAGUCUCCUCAUAUACAACUUCAAGUUUUCUCUAAAUUUUAUAAGCAUUAUAACAAUAUGAAACUCUAUGAAAUUCCUUUUUAUUUAAGACACAAAAUAAAGCAUUCACAUAACCUUGGAAUUCAAAGACAUUUUGGUCCUAUCUGACCCACUUAAAGCAUUCUUCAUAGGAAUGAAUGAACCAUCACAAACUAUUUCCCAUAUUUCAUAGUCUAAGGCUUGUAAAAAUACUUUCAUCCUUGUUUUCCAAUAAGGAUAGUCAUUACCAUAAAAAAAUAGAGGUCUAGUGGUGGAUUGGUCUUCCAUGAAGGUUGAGCUAAUUUGAGUUGCUAUUGAUCUUUAACUCUAGACGGUUAAGUCUACAAAAGAGCACCUUACUUUGAUACCAAAUAAAAUACUAACUAGGCAACCCAAGAGGGGGGUGAAUUGGGUUUUUAAAACUUAAGCUAAACAAAUUGCACAAUAAUUUAAUCUAUUGCCUUAAUCAAAUAAAAAACAAUAAAUUCAAUAAAGCUCAAUAAUAAAAGAGUAAGGGAAGAGAAAACAAACACAAGGAUUUUUACGUGGUUCGGCAAUCUCUGCCUACGUCCACGCCUCCAAGCACACCGGACUUGAGGAUUUCACUAUUCAAGCUUCCCAAGGCUUUAAAUGCUUACAAUUGACUUCCAAGGUGUUAAUGAACCUUUACAACAAGAGAUUAUCUCCCAAAUCUCUUUAUCCCAAGUGUUUCUUACACUUGUACACUCACAAUUUGAUAAGAAAUGAAAAUUAUAAUAAACAACUCUAUUUUAGAGUAGAUAUAUAAAUUAUAGCACAAUAAUAAUUCAAGAUAUGAUAAUUAACGAAAAUGGAAGCUCAAUAUAUGUUGUGUGCUUUUUGUUUUUGCUUGCUAGAGUUCUUGAAAAUGAAUUGGAUUUGAAUUUAUAUAGUUUGAGCCCAAAAACUAGCCGUUAUGUGUUUUCUAAUGAUAACCGGCUUGCCGUUUUCGAAAUCCGGUUAGCCGCUUUUAUGUUACUGUUACAUCAAAUAUUUGAAUUUUAGAACAUCAGGUAUUCUUUCAAAAUCCGGAUAGCCGCUUUCAUUCCAGUAAGCUACUGCCCAAAAUUCGGUCUGCCGCUUAUCAAAUCUGGUUAGCCACUUGCUACAGUAAAUUAUUUUCUAAAAUUAUAGUUUUAACUCAAAACUUUAUAGAAUUACGAUAUGGCCCAAAACGUCAUAAAACUUUACACAGAGUCAAAUUUCAGAAUUUCUAAAUAAUACUUAUUAUUCCCAAAACUUUUUAAAAUUAUAAUAUGGCCCAAAAUGCUAUGAAACGUUUCCAAUAAGUCAUUCUCCAAAAUUUCAAGUAAUACUUGUUGAUUUUAAAGUUUUCAAAACUCUUUCAAUUAAACCAUAAACUUGAAAAACAACUAAUUUCAUAAAAUUAUUUUUCCAUUAAAUAUAAAACUUUUAUAAUGUGAAAAUAAUGAUUUAUUUAAAAUGUAUAAAAACUAAUUUGAGCUUACAAGAUUAAUAAUUCUUAAUCUUGUUUUGUUAUCAUCAAAAUCAACAUUAUGGAAACAUAUAUGUUAACAGAUGAUUUCCCCUUUAAUCCUUGUGUAAUCCAGAUUGAAUCAACAGAUCAAUGACUUAAAUUUGCCACAAGCCAAAGUUAAUUUUCCCAUCAAAUUUUUCUAUUUCAAAUUUCACAAGACUUGAAAAUCCUGACAUAUUUGUUUUGCAGAUCAGCCUUUACUCUUCACCACAAACUAUUUGGAUUGGCUCUCACUGCUUCAAAUGAACAGUACCGUAUACGUAAACAAUAUCGUAUACUUGAACAAUGUCAUCUACAUGAACAGUGCCCUGACACCAAAACUUCAAUCAAUGGCUCUGACACCACUGUUAGAAAAUUGAGUUUCCUCCCAAGAUCACUCCAAGCAAUUUAUCAAAUAACAAAUCAAUAGAAAAAUUAAAUGAAAAAUACACCAAUCUCACAACACAAGAUUUAUGUAGAAAACUCUAAAUCUGAAGAAAAAUCAUGGUUGCUGUAAAAAAAACAACCAGAGAAAAAUAUUUACUAUGUGAAAAUUAUUACAACCACACUCUCAGAAAUAAUUUUCUCUCACCCUAGCCCCAAAUAGACCCAGAACUUUUAAUUUAAGAGUAAUUAUAUUCAACUCUCAAAUUCUCUCUAAAUACAAGAGGAAGCAAAUAUUUAGAAUGAUAAAACUUAUGAAAUAUUCUCUUAUUUAUAACCAAACGGAUAGCACUGUUUAAAUCGCGUUACUAUUCAAACCGCGUUACUGUUCAUACCGCAUCUUUGUUCAUGCCGCGUCACUGUUCAAACCACGCGACUUUUUAAACCACGUGGUCAAACCGUAUUAUUGUUUACGGUGCUACUUUUUUUUUUUUAAAAUCAAUUUUCAACAAAUGAAAGAUUCGUGCGAGCCCAUUAUAAAAGGAUGAACUAAUGUCCAAUCUAUUUAAUUAGCUUACUGUGUGAAGUUCACUUAACUUUUACCACCUUUAUUUCGAAUGGCGCCUCCGACGAACGGCAAUGGCAGGCUCAAUCAGAGAUGGACUGUCCAGGGCAUGACUGCGCUUGUAACUGGUGGAACCAAAGGACUAGGGUUCUUAAUCGAUUCUUAUCUCUCUAGCUAGCUCUUAUAUGCAUUCUUUUCCUAUUAAUAGUGCCUGCAUGUGCUCAUAUUUUUGUUUCUGUUAUUGGUGCGUUGACUAGUCAU